CAAAAGCAGAAAAAGUCUUCCUCCAUAUCCCUGGUCCAAAUGGCCAUUGCUCUGUAACCAGAUCAAAGAAGAGACAGUGGUUAAGGUUCGUUCCCAGAGGUGUGCCUAGUGUUUUUCAGUGACUUUUUGUUGCUGCAGAGCCAUUUCAUAGCUGACUUCAGGUGUGCAGUUUUCUAACUGCUCCAUGGUUCAAAGGAGUUCAGCCAUCCCUGACACUUGAACACAAACACUCUAGGAAUGUAUUAUUCAAAGCCUUUCUUCCUCUGCAUUUCAGAAAUAAAGGUGUAAACUUUCUUUAGAGGGAAGAGAAACACAUAUCUUUUCCUCUAGUAAGAAAAAGUGAAAGGCUAGUCUUCAAGCUUUAUAUCCUCUGAGAGUCUUUGCACGAGAGCAAAUGAGAAUUACUUGUGAUAACAUUCCCAUAUCCCUCUCCACAUCUGAGGAUGGUAAAACCAUUGAGGCGUGAUAUGUCGACACUUUGCUGCUGCAGUCGCCAGAGGGGCAGUGUAAUGUUACCACAGCAACUGCACGUCUUGUGUAAGACUCUCUAUCUCCUUGUGGAUAUAGAAACUAGCGAUAAAGUUUUACCAGGUUUUUUAAAGAUUUAUGAUGCUUCUCCAAUAGCAGAUCCAGGAACAGGGCUGCAUCCUGUGCCAGGGUUCCCCAUCUGACUCGCAAAGAACUCUUCCCCCUCCCUACCUCUGCCUGAACAAGAACUGAUUAAAGGAAGGACUUACAAAAGACAAGGAAGAUGCAGUGGGAGGCACACCUAAAGCCCUCCAGACAAGGGGGAUAUGAGUGAAGCAACUCCCCUGGUCUCAUUUGCAUCUGAGAUGGAACCAGAUGACAACUCAUUUAAAUGGGAGAUGGGUCAGGCAUGCACCUUCACUAGCAUUCAGGAUGGAGAACAGAGAUUCCAAGGCAAGGACCACACUGAAUGUUGGGAUCAGAAAAGCAGGGGAGCACUGCAUGAUGGGGAAUCCUUACUCCAAAUGCUAAUCAGCCCACAUCUACACACACCCAGCUCAGCAUUUAUCAGACCAAUUCUAGUAAUGACUCCUCUAUUGGUACCCAAAACAUUGAAUCUGCCUGUCUAUUGUGAGCUCCCUCAGGGUAAUGCUGCCCAUAGCCAGGAGUGAUCACUUCCUGUUAUCCAGCAUAUGAGCCAUUGUUUACCCCUAAACAAACCUAGCAUUCUCCCUUGAGCCAUUGUUGGUUCUCUACAAAAACCCUACCCAAGCUCAAGUUUCUGUCCUUGUGCUUGGAUCCAGAAGUUGCAGCAGUUCCACUCCUUUUCUGCCUGGCAUCCCUCCACUGAUCAUGCUGAGAUCAUCUGCCUGUCUGCAAGCUUCAACAAACACCUGGGAACCUCGACUGGUUCAAGCUUUGCUGCGUAGUGAGACCCCAACUCUCUCUCUGCCUCUGCCUCCAGCAACCUGGCUUUUAUUCUCUUACUCCAGGCACAGCUUUCUAAACCUGACUUUUGCUAAUCAAACUGGAGCUAGACUUCCCCAAAAGCCUAAUUGAAACUAUGUAAUAUUGUAACUGUUUAUUUGUCUCUCUUGUAUGGCUAUUAUUACUGGUAUCAUCAUAAGUUCAUAUACCUGGCAAUAAAUAACUUAUAUGGUCAA
This is a long non-coding RNA of Alligator mississippiensis (American alligator), 1631 nucleotides long. RefSeq lists it as uncharacterized. The transcript has 2 exons. The record is from RefSeq and is a predicted model, not a curated record. Lineage: Eukaryota; Metazoa; Chordata; Crocodylia; Alligatoridae.